This 346-nucleotide unclassified non-coding RNA is filed under the name soil metagenome. Its description in RNAcentral is "partial contains 5.8S ribosomal RNA, internal transcribed spacer 2, and large subunit ribosomal RNA". The stretch from base 1 to 120 matches the Rfam family "5.8S ribosomal RNA", at positions 35 to 154 of the family's 154-position model. The record is from RNAcentral.
GAUGAAGAACGCAGCGAAAUGCGAUACGUAAUGUGAAUUGCAGAAUUCAGUGAAUCAUCGAGUCUUUGAACGCACAUUGCGCCCCCUGGUAUUCCGGGGGGCAUGCCUGUCCGAGCGUCAUUGCUGCCCUCAAGCACGGCUUGUGUGUUGGGCCUCCGUCCUCCUCCCGGGGGACGGGCCCGAAAGGCAGCGGCGGCACCGCGUCCGGACCUCGAGCGUAUGGGGCUUUGUCACCCGCUCUGGAGACCCGGCCGGCGGCCGUCGGACCACCCCAACCUUUUUAACCGGUUGACCUCGGAUCAGGCAGGGAUACCCGCUGAACUUAAGCAUAUCAAUAAGCGGAGGA